GCCUUUGAAAGAUGGUUUCGGCUAUCGCUUACAGAUGGGCCCGCGGUGCAUUAGCUAGUUGGUAGGGUAAUGGCCUACCAAGGCAACGAUGCAUAGCCGACCUGAGAGGGUGAUCGGCCACACUGGGACUGAGACACGGCCCAGACUCCUACGGGAGGCAGCAGUAGGGAAUCUUCCGCAAUGGACGAAAGUCUGACGGAGCAACGCCGCGUGUAUGAAGAAGGUUUUCGGAUCGUAAAGUACUGUUGUUAGAGAAGAACAAGGAUAAGAGUAACUGCUUGUCCCUUGACGGUAUCUAACCAGAAAGCCACGGCUAACUACGUGCCAGCAGCCGCGGUAAUACGUAGGUGGCAAGCGUUGUCCGGAUUUAUUGGGCGUAAAGCGCGCGCAGGCGGUCUUUUAAGUCUGAUGUGAAA
RNAcentral lists this ribosomal RNA (416 nucleotides) under Listeria monocytogenes. Its description in RNAcentral is "bacterial SSU rRNA". It matches the Rfam family "Bacterial small subunit ribosomal RNA", at positions 196 to 599 of the family's 1533-position model. Lineage: Bacteria; Bacillati; Bacillota; Bacilli; Caryophanales; Listeriaceae. The record is from RNAcentral.